UACCAGCUCUCCGAGUGGUGUGGAUGUUUAUUGGGCCUAAAGCAUCCGUAGCUGGCUGGACAAGUCCCCUGUUAAAUCCACCGAUUUAAUCGUUGGAGUGCGGGGGAUACUGUUCGGCUAGGGGACGGGAGAGGCAGACGGUAUUUUCGGGGUAGGGGUGAAAUCCUAUAAUCCCGGGAAGACCACCAGUGGCGAAGGCUGUCUGCUAGAACGCGCCCGACGGUGAGGGAUGAAAGCUGGGGGAGCGAACCGGAUUAGAUACCCGGGUAGUCCCAGCUGUAAACGAUGCAGGAUAGGUGUUUGGGCGGCCACGUGCCGCUCUAGUGCCGCAGGGAAGCCGUUAAGCCUGUCGCCUGGGGAGUACGGCCGCAAGGCUGAAACUUAAAGGAAUUGGCGGGGGAGCACCACAAGGGGUGAAGCUUGCGGUUU
RNAcentral lists this ribosomal RNA (429 nucleotides) under uncultured archaeon. RNAcentral describes it as "bacterial SSU rRNA". It matches the Rfam family "Archaeal small subunit ribosomal RNA", at positions 474 to 903 of the family's 1478-position model. The record is from RNAcentral.